GAUGAACGCUGGCGGCAGGCCUAACACAUGCAAGUCGAACGGCAGCACAGAAGAGCUUGCUCUUUGGGUGGCGAGUGGCGGACGGGUGAGUAAUGUCUGGGAAACUGCCCGAUGGAGGGGGAUAACUACUGGAAACGGUAGCUAAUACCGCAUAACGUCGCAAGACCAAAGUGGGGGACCUUCGGGCCUCACACCAUCGGAUGUGCCCAGAUGGGAUUAGCUAGUAGGUGGGGUAAUGGCUCACCUAGGCGACGAUCCCUAGCUGGUCUGAGAGGAUGACCAGCCACACUGGAACUGAGACACGGUCCAGACUCCUACGGGAGGCAGCAGUGGGGAAUAUUGCACAAUGGGCGCAAGCCUGAUGCAGCCAUGCCGCGUGUAUGAAGAAGGCCUUCGGGUUGUAAAGUACUCUCAGCGGGGAGGAAGGUGUUGAGGUUAAUAACCUCAGCAAUUGACGUUACCCGCAGAAGAAGCACCGGCUAACUCCGUGCCAGCAGCCGCCGUAA
Molecule: ribosomal RNA, 506 nt
Filed under: uncultured bacterium
Lineage: Bacteria
Description: partial 16S ribosomal RNA
Rfam family: Bacterial small subunit ribosomal RNA
Source: RNAcentral